RNAcentral lists this ribosomal RNA (443 nucleotides) under uncultured bacterium. Its description in RNAcentral is "partial 16S ribosomal RNA". It matches the Rfam family "Bacterial small subunit ribosomal RNA", at positions 338 to 795 of the family's 1533-position model. The record is from RNAcentral.
CCUACGGGUGGCAGCAGUGGGGAAUAUUGGGCAAUGGGCGAAAGCCUGACGCAGCAACGCCGCGUGAAGGAAGAAGGAUUUCGGGUUGUAAACUUCUAUUAGCAGGGACGAAGAAAGUGAAGGUACCUGAGGAAUAAGCCACGGCUAACUAGGUGCCAGCAGCGGCGGUAAGACGUAGGUGGCAAGCGUUAUCCGGAUUUACUGGGUGUAAAGGGGGCGUAGGCGGGACUGCAAGUCAGAUGUGAAAGCCCAGGGAUCAACCUGGGGCCUGCAUUUGAAACUGUAGUUCUUGAGUGCUGGAGAGGCAAACGGAAUUCCUAGUGUAGCGGUGAAAUGCGUAGAUAUUAGGAGGAACACCAGUGGCGAAGGCGGUUUGCUGGACUGUAACUGACGCUGAGGCGCGAAAGCGUGGGGAGCAAACAGGAUUAGAUACCCGUGUAGUC